RNAcentral lists this ribosomal RNA (647 nucleotides) under uncultured Basidiomycota. RNAcentral describes it as "LSU rRNA". It matches the Rfam family "Eukaryotic large subunit ribosomal RNA", at positions 1 to 635 of the family's 3401-position model. The record is from RNAcentral. Lineage: Eukaryota; Fungi; Basidiomycota.
CCUCAAAUCAGGUAGAACUACCCGCUGAACUUAAGCAUAUCAAUAAGCGGAGGAAAAGAAACUAACAAGGAUUCCCCUAGUAACGGCGAGUGAAGCGGGAUGAGCUCAAAUUUAAAAUCUGGCGGUCUCAGAUCGUCCGAGUUGUAGUCUAGAGAAGCGUUUUCCGUGCUGGCCUGUGUACAAGUCCGUUGGAACACGGCGUCAUAGAGGGUGAGAAUCCCGUCCUUGACACAGAUCUCCAGUGCUUUGUGAUGCGCUCUCAAAGAGUCGAGUUGUUUGGGAAUGCAGCUCAAAAUGGGUGGUAAAUUCCAUCUAAAGCUAAAUAUUGGCGAGGAACCGAUAGCGAACAAGUACCGUGAGGGAAAGAUGAAAAGCACUUUGGAAAGAGAGUUAAACAGUACGUGAAAUUGUUGAAAGGGAAACGAUUGAAGUCAGUCAUGCUUUCCGAGACUCAGCCGGUUCUGCCGGUGUACUUCUCGGUUUGCAGGCCAGCAUCAGUUUUGGGCGGUGGAAAAGGUUGGCGGGAAUGUGGCAUCCUCGGAUGUGUUAUAGCCCGCUUUCGAAUACAUCGCCCGGGACCGAGGAACGCAGCACGCCUCUUGUAGGUCGGUCUUCGGACACGUCCGUGCUUAGGAUGCUGGCAUAAU